CAGUCGCCACGGUAACACGUAGGUGGCAAGCGUUGUCCGGAAUUAUUGGGCGUAAAGGGCUCGCAGGCGGUUUCUUAAGUCUGAUGUGAAAGCCCCCGGCUCAACCGGGGAGGGUCAUUGGAAACUGGGAAACUUGAGUGCAGAAGAGGAGAGUGGAAUUCCAUGUGUAGCGGUGAAAUGCGUAGAUAUAUGGAGGAACACCGGUGGCGAAAGCGGCUCUCUGGCCUGUAACUGACGCUGAGGCUCGAAAGCGUGGGGAGCAAACAGGAUUAGAUACCCCCGUAGUCCCUGUCUCUUAUAC
Molecule: ribosomal RNA, 301 nt
Filed under: uncultured bacterium
Lineage: Bacteria
Description: partial 16S ribosomal RNA
Rfam family: Bacterial small subunit ribosomal RNA
Source: RNAcentral